UCUUUUUUGUAAGAGUUUUGGGAGAGGCUGAGGAUUUACAGCAUAAUGACACGUUUGCGUUUUAGUUGAUUUGCUAUUUACAGAAUCAUCUGUGUAGCCUGAUUUGGGUGCGCUCAGCAAUUUUUUGUGGGAUUUGGAUUGAUGCAAUGGAACCACGUGUGUGGGGUAGUGCUAGGAAUUGGUAUGGUGCCGACACCUACCCAUCCAUGUACUUUGCAUGGGUUUCACUGAUGUUCUUGGAGUGUGGCCAUAGUUAUUUUUGGUGGGUCCACAUUCUUAAUUGCUGUACCACCGCUUUGACCCCAGUUCUGACCAUCUACACAAAUCUUUCCCCACCUCGGCUCUUUCUUCCUUAACCACAGCCCACAGGUCCACAACGACUCGCCCAAUCCCGCAUCGCUGCUCGCCGCCGUUCGCCGCCGUAGCCCUCGGCGGCCCGUCCUGCGUGAAUCCCUCUCGGCCGCUGCUUCCCCUUGCCUCCAUCUGUGACCUCCUGCCAAGUCAGAGAGACAUACCUGCCGGCAACACAUUGAGGACGACGAGGCUCCGCGGUGCUGUGGAGGUUGGUGUGGGUGCGACCCUCUAUUUGGCGACUCGGCGCGACCUGGGCGACCGGAGAGGAUGGCCGGCCACGGCUGCUCCUUCCCAUGUUUCUGAGACUCGCCCCGGUAGUUCCGCCGCCGCCGCUCGCGGAAGAUGGCGGGCCGCCGCCGUUCGCGGGAGACAGGUCACGCCCUGAACCAUACUUUCGACGUCGACGACCUGGCGGCGCUCCGGGCCUUCGCCGACAGUUCCCCAUCCGGUUCGAACUGACCGACGGGCCUCGGUUCUCUCUAUGUGGCCAGGUCGCCGCGCUUUCCAUCUUGGCCAGUCCGUGUGCCGCCUCUCUGAAGGUACUCAACAAUCCACAGAAUCAUCGAUACUCUGAAACAGCGAGUGCGUCGGCGGCGGUGAACUCCACAACGGCGGCCACCAUCCCGACCGGGCUGAACCAGGCUGAUGGGGAGGAGGAGCGCAAUCUCGGCCAGCAUGGAUGCGCGCGGGUUGCUUCCUGACUGCGGACCUGAGGAUGGCCCCCUCUGUGUUCAGCAACAGCUGGUCCUCUAGAUGAGCGCGCGACCACGUUGGAGGUGGCCAUGCGCGUUCUGCUAUGCUCAGAGAUUCCCUAUGAGUGUGGUGCCGCAGGCUGGAGUGACCGGCCUCUUUCUUCAUCGCCACCCCCAGUUCCGUAUCGGCGUCAGCGUCUGCAAGAUGUCACUGUUGUGAUGCCUCCUUGCCGUGGUGGUUCUUCCCUGAUGCAUGUUUAUGUUGUUUGAACCAACUGAAAGCACAAAGUCACUGACUCAAACAAGUCAACAUAGCUACGCCAUUUUUAUACAUUGCACAUUCCUGAAGAAAGGUACCAUAUUUCAUUUUCUGGCAUGCAUAUGAUCCCUAGAUUGUACCUGCAGACCGCAGUUUCAUUAUUAUUUUGUUUUCCCAGUUACAUAAUAUUUUCUCCACAAUAUAUUUUGAUUUCAACAUGGUAAUUGUUCCCAUAUAGCUAAAGCAUCUAGAAAAUGAAAAACUGCAAACCGAAUGUCUAAAACAAACUAGAAUUUUCAGACCAUCUAAGCUUAAAGAUGGAAAUUCCAGUCAUAAGAAUGAUCGUCAGGUGAUUUAACUAUAGUCAAAAGAUAAUGUACUCUGGCUCCCAAGGGAAAAUUGUGUGCAUAGCUGCAAAAAUUUCGAAUAGACAAGUUGCUGGCAGUAUAGUUAAUUAAUCCACAUUAGUAGUUAGUAUCUAAUUACAGAUAGACAAACCUGCACAUUUUUUUUGUAUUGCACACCUCGAGAUUUUUUUUUAUGUGCAAAUACCACUUCAUGCUUUGGCUUCGGGACAUGCUUAGUCGAAUUUGGAGGAAGAUGCAGAGAUAACUUAAAGCUUUUCCAAAAUUCAUAGUUAUGAUAAUAAAUCGAGAACUCCAAGAGUAAUAUGUCACAUACAUAUUAACAUAAAAUAUCUCAAGUUUAUGAGUCGGUGAGAAGGAAGAGUAUGGCCACAAUUAAAACAUUAUCCAAAUAAAUAUUCCCCUAUAGUGCGUUAAAGUCAACGGUAUGUAUAGCUCCUGAACCUUUCCUUAUUACCAAUGAUAUAAACAAAAACUUCCGAGCCAGUCAAUGAUACUUCUAUGUAAAAGGAUGGCCAGAAAACAAUUUAAAUGGGCUUAGUGCGCUCUUUGUCUAUCACACUCUGAAAUGAACCAUCAUCAAGCUUCACACUUGAAAUACAAGGAGUAUACCUUUUGACGUUCUUAGCUGAACCAACCACAUGCUUAGAAGCACCUGAACCAAUCAACCAUAAUCGUCACUUUGUGUAUGAUUUUUGUCUGCAGCAUUGCAGCAUCCCCUUGCCUGCCAUAGAUAUCCCAGCAGGGUGGCCACGCCUUCCACAUUGACCACAACACCAAAACUUCUUGGCCGUGAACCCUCCUUUGUGUGCAUUCCACCAAACAACCUUUGUGCAUACAUGGUACUCAAAAGAAUUUCCACCACAUCUGUUUAACUUAAUCACACAAGAACACAAGCAUCUUCUCGGAUGAACAACUAGAGUAGAAAACAGCCACAAUAGCAACUAGCAGCAGCUCGCUCUCCGUUGCGCAGGGCUGCAGCAAAAACAGAGGAGCGGCCUUCCUCGCUGCAACCAGUAGGGCAGACGAUGCCGCAUCACAAACUUCGAUCAAGGUCACUCCGAAUCACAGGGAAACACACCAGAUAUAUCCCGCUCUGAUACCAUCUUGAUUUCUGAAAGUAUUUAGAAGAGAUUUGGGAAGAGAGGGAAGAACACAAGGGAGGCUGAGAAAAUAUUCCUGCAUACUUCCAUUCAGUCGAUCCUCCACACCUUUAAUUAAGGUACUUCUACAACUUAAGCCCUGAAGCCUACUAAGAUUACAAAGGCGUGCUCCAACAAAACAUAGCGGAUGGGCAGUAUAAAUAUGUAAAUUAAGGAUUUAAUACUUGAGUGGAUUCUUCUACUUUGAAUCUUUCAAGCAGAUUACAUAUGUGUUCUAAAAUUGUUGUAGAUUUGGUUAUUUUAUGACAUUCAUGAUAAAGAACAUACUAUGGCGUCUAAGGAACAUCAUUCAUGUUACAUUUCCUUCGGUGUAGCUACCUACGGAGUAAUUCUUUGUACCCCCCACCAGAAGGAAUGAUCUGCAGUUGCAGAUGUCAGUUUUUUACCAUAUAUUUAAGCUCUCAGGUUAGAUUUAUCCAUGCUAAGUCAUGAUGAUGGUAACUCUUAUGGAAGUUCAUAUUCAUAUCCAUGUGAACUGGUAUUCCAGUAGAAAAAAAAAAUUUAUCCAACAAGAAACGACUCACAUAACUAAUCCAUCAAAAGCACCAAGGGGAGCAACAGUUAACACAUUGUCAAAAAUUGAUCUCUUUGAGGUAGAUUGGGCAAAUUCAAGCAAAGUGGAGCAGGUCAGAUGUGAUUUUCAUUCAUCCAAGCUGGUUGUGCCAAAGUUGCUUUCAAAUAAGAAAGGGGAGAAACCUUUCUGACUUCUCUGAACAUUUUGUUCCCUUCGAAACUUAUCUAACUUUCCAGUGUCAAAGAGUAAGCUUUCCUAUAAUAACAAGUUUACAUAUGCAUCACUGUGCCAAUAAUGCAGAUGACUGGAUGCGCAAGUACCUGGUGAUCAUAAUUUGCAAAUCACAUCCAAACUUCAGUAGGUUUUUUUAUAGUAUUUUUAAUGCAGUAGACGAAUCAUGUGAAAUGAUCCAUAGUACCAUAUGAUCUCUGUGGUUAGCUGACAUUGGCACCAGUGCGUUGCUACAAGGUCUAGAGAAAUCUCGAAGAGAGCAAUACUAUCUGAAUUUCUCUACUUGCUAGCCAGCAUUUAAGCAUUUGCAUUUUGGCCUCUAAAAAAAUCGCAGAGGAAAAUUUGCAUUUGUUGUAUACAUGCUGCUAACUUAAGAAAAAGAAUUACUGUUAAGACAAAGAAGCGAGAAGCCUAUAUUUUAGUGCCUCUUAUGUAGUUAUUUCUUUUAUCUAUUUGCUUACCUGCACAAUAUUUAAUUUAAUAUAUCUUUGCAUUGCACGGUGGAACUUGCCCGAGUAGUGCUGAAAUAUAUCCCCAAAUUGGUUAAUCUGCCCAUUAUGGGCAUAUCAACCCCACAAGGAAUUAGGAACAACUGUUUUUGCUAAUUGAAAAAGUCUACACAGCUAUUCUGUUGUAAGUUGACAUGAUAUUGGUGAAGCUGUGGUGUAUGUCCCUUAUUCGUAUUUUUGUAUUUAUUUGAAGUCAACCACAUAAACUUGUUGACAUAAUUGGUAGCUGGUGUUUGAUUAUGCUCCCCAUCCCUCCGGCGAGGUAGCAAUGAGCUAUCAAACGCCAAUAGAGGACAGAUCCAGUUGUCCGUUUGUGAUGAUGGAUGAGAUUCCAUGGAUAGAGAACACUUGUAGGCCCUAGCUGUACCUUAGUUUAUCAGUACUUCCAUAUUUUUUUGGCAAAACACUUAUGAUUGUUGUUCUUUUUCUGUUGUUUAUAGAAUAAUGAUACCAAUUAUAUUUAUUGUUCUGAUCCAUGUUGUGUACACCUCAAUGUAGAAGAGAGUUGUCCACUGGUUGUUGAUUUAUCUUCUUCAUGGUAGCAGAGCAGGGGAAGACUAAAUCAGAACAUUGCUGAUAUCUUGGAAGUGACGUGUUGCCCCGAGCACCAAAAUCAGCUAAACCUGUUAGUCCAUGCUCCCUCUAUAUGAACUGGAUUAUAUUGUUAUUGACCUUGAGGGAGGUACAUUCGAAUGCUAUGUUGUAUGCAUUUACAUCGACCAAUUCAGAGAAUAACUAAAGGAAGGAUCAAUCUACAUGUUUGUGGUGCUCAUUGUGGUUAAAGCAAAAAAGAGCAUUAAAAGAAUCCAGGAAAUCACUCCUCAUGUGGACAAUUCCCAUGUUUUAAUGCACAAUGUUUGGUGUCUUAGCAACCCAUAAGGGAAGCAAUACUCUUUUAUCAAGUCUCUCACGACUGAUAUGGUUUGUCUCAUUCAUAUUUUGUCUUCACCACGCAAACUCCCUUGCUUAAAAAACGAUGCUGUGCUUCUGGGAUACACUGGGAUUGGGGAAUGUACUGGCAGACAUCAUCCCGUCGAAGAGAAACCAACAACCUACAAGACAUAUCUACUUAACUGACAUCAAGGUACGCCUUCUAAAAUAGAUAGCAUCUGCUUGCAAAUUUCGUGUAGUGCCAUGUUCCUUGAUACUAACUUAAGCAGCCAAUGUGGAAUUGUCAUCCUCCUAAAUGGUAUAAUGGGGAAGAAGUAUCUUCAUUGAACAUGGAUGGAAUAAAUUCGCAGAAGACAAUGGCAUUCCAGAAGGUGACACUCUGUUCUUCACUUACGCCGUGGAUUCGUCAAUGAAGGUGGCCAAAUUCGGGAGCAAUGGCUGCGAAAAAAUAAUCAUCCGACACAACAAGGGAUACAUCACCUAGAUACCAGGCCUAGACCACCUUUUGAUUCCUACAACUUACAAGUACCAGUGGAAGGAUCCUGUUAUGCAACUAUUUAUCUAUGACCCAUCAAUAAAAUUUCUGAGUUACACA
Molecule: long non-coding RNA, 5573 nt
Organism: Lolium rigidum
Lineage: Eukaryota; Viridiplantae; Streptophyta; Magnoliopsida; Poales; Poaceae
Exons: 3
Source: RefSeq, a predicted model, not a curated record